Molecule: ribosomal RNA, 249 nt
Filed under: uncultured archaeon
Lineage: Archaea
Description: partial 16S ribosomal RNA
Rfam family: Archaeal small subunit ribosomal RNA
Source: RNAcentral
GGCGCCUCAAGUGGUAGUCGCUUUUAUUGGGCCUAAAACGUCCGUAGCCGGUCUGAUACAUUCGUGGGUAAAUCAACCAGCUCAACUGGUUGAAUUCUGCGAGGACGGUCAGACUUGGGACCGGGAGAGGUGUGGGGUACGCUCAGGGUAGGGGUAAAAUCCUGUCAUCCUGAGCGGACCACCUGUUGCGAAGGCGCCACACUAGAACGGAUCCGACGGUCAGGGACGAAGCCUAGGGGCACGAACCGG